UAAUUAUAAAUUGUUAAUUGUUAGUAUGAUUUAAUUGUGCCCAACACUGGUACGAGGGAAAAUCAUCGCAACAGAAAAAAUUACUGAUUACGUUGAACGCGUAAUUCCCAAUUAUACAAUGCAGAGGCUCGACUGUCGGGCCUCACGCGGGGUAAUGCAAUCCCGAGAACCAAAAAUUUCUCUUCUAGGUUAGAAGACGAACGGAACUUGCAGUGAAAAUGUGUUCCGAAUUAUGCAAGAAACGCAUAGACCGCAUGAACGCAUUAGACGCAUCAACUGCCUCAAGUCAAAAGAGAAGCAGUCAAUGCGCUGGGAGGAGUGCUAAGAAUUCAGUACGGUUAGUACACUCUAGGGAAUUCAUAGCUCUCUCGAAGCGCUUUCGAAGCGCGCAAUAGCUAAUUCGGAACGACUUUCUAUGUACUCUACGCGCUUUAUGCGCAACUCGGAACGCACCCGGUGUGUUGCUCAGCGCGCAACGUGGGGAACUCUUCCUGGCUCACUUCGCCGGGUCGAGCGGUGCUGUCAGCUCAACUCACUGACGGGGAAAGAGUGCUUUGUCGUGUUUUCGAGGGCCUUUUAUACGGUUAGCUCGUGGGCGCGGGAGUGAGUGCGGUGCGGGGUGAGACGGCACGAGGUGGGGCGUAACGAUUCGCUUAUUGUUAACGGCUCGUGGCCCGGUGACUCGUUACAAAUUCUUUCGUUGAAUAUAAGUUGGCAAGCUUUUCUAAGACUAGUAACAAGUCUUUAAGCCUUGAUUCGUUUGACGGAUUGUGGACGGAACCGGACAAAUGAAAACACGCUACGUAUGUAUGUACCUUAAGUGCCAAUACGUGCGCGGGUCAUGUCACAUUUGUUUUAGGUAGCGUGAAAUAAACAGCUUGUAUUCCGAUCACAGUCUCCCUCAAACUCACUAUCUAGCAUGCCGAGUGUUUCUGUGAUUUCCUAUUUUUUUAAAAUGGCACCAAACAAUAAGAAGGUGAAGAGAAAGAAACGCGUGGAUUUGAAUGUGAUGCAGAAAUUACAGCUAAUAGAGAAAGUGGAACAAGGCGCCUCGGUUAAGGAUGUUUGUAAAAUUUAUGACGUAGGGAGAAGUACCGUCAU
This is a long non-coding RNA of Vollenhovia emeryi, 1101 nucleotides long. RefSeq lists it as uncharacterized. Lineage: Eukaryota; Metazoa; Arthropoda; Insecta; Hymenoptera; Formicidae. The transcript is spliced from 3 exons. The record is from RefSeq and is a predicted model, not a curated record.